This 971-nucleotide long non-coding RNA is filed under the name Ricinus communis (castor bean). Its description in RNAcentral is "long non-coding RNA (RCOM_LNC000813)". The record is from RNAcentral. Lineage: Eukaryota; Viridiplantae; Streptophyta; Magnoliopsida; Malpighiales; Euphorbiaceae.
GAAAGAUCCGAACUUGGCCUUCUUAAAAACAAUCACAGCCCAACUACAAACUCUCCUCGGUGUUUCCCUAAUCGAGAUAUUAUCUAGGCAUCCAACUGAUGAGGUAUACCUUGGGCAGAGAGAUACAGCAGAAUGGACAUCAGAUCGUGAACCACUAGCAGCAUUUGAAAGAUUUUCAGAAAGGCUGAAAGAAAUUGAAAACAAAAUCAUGGACAUGAACAGUGACAAUAAAUACAAGAACAGAAUUGGGCCAGUCAAGGUGCCUUACACCUUACUUUUUCCUAACACCUCAGAUGAAUCUAGACAGGGUGGACUCACUGGCAAGGGGAUUCCCAACAGUAUAUCAAUAUAAAUCUUUUCUAUCAAAACAGCAAUAGCAUUCAUUAAGUUAAUUAUGUAAGUAGGGGCAGCUUAGUGGUUUGUAUUCAAAUUUAUUUUUAUCUAACUAGUAAAAGGAAUUAUGUGCAAGUAAUUAUGGAAUUUUCUAACAUAUAUAUCACAAGCAUCUAUUGAGUGUAAACUUAUACCUAUACAAGUGAGAUAUAUCUGUUAUGUUGAAACUAGAGUUGAAUAAAGCCAAACUAUAUGUGACAAACAUAUAAAUUGAUAAAAUCAGCCAUGGCAACUGAAACCUCUAUCUAUCCUCUAGGUCACAUUGGCAUAAUUAUACCAAAAAUUUGUAGCUCCCUGAAACUUAACAAAAUCAAUGACACAGAUACGUACAAUACAGCAAGCUGAGAUCAAAACAAGAAAAAAAAAAACACUUAUUUCCCUUUCUUUCAGCAAACGAGAAAAUCAUCGAAGAAUAACUAAUAACCAGUACAAGUUCAAGCCAAACGAACGUAGAGAAUAAACAGAAAGAAAGCAUUCGAUUAUAAGCGAAAUAAACAUAGGAGAAAUUAGAGCAAGAUUGUAACUUUGCAGGCUCUUUACAUGGAAACCCAGCAACCGUAUUGGCAAAAGAUUGUCCU